Erinaceus europaeus (western European hedgehog) is the source of this 1007-nucleotide long non-coding RNA. RefSeq lists it as uncharacterized. The record is from RefSeq and is a predicted model, not a curated record. Lineage: Eukaryota; Metazoa; Chordata; Mammalia; Eulipotyphla; Erinaceidae. The transcript has 2 exons.
AUUCAUUGUAUCAGCAAAUUGUCACUAAACCUUUACUCAUUCUUAAAAAAAAAUUAACAAGAUAUAUAGAGAGCAGAGCACUGCUCAACUCUGGCUUAUGGUGGUACUGGGAAUUGAAUCUGGGACUUUAGAGCCCCAGGCAUGAACGUCUUUUCGCAUAACCAUUAUGCUGUCCCCACUGCCCAACAAUGGCUUUUUAAAAACACUAUCAAAAGCAUGAUUUAUGAGAGAAAAAAUUCAUAAGCUGGACUUCAUUGGAGUUCAAUAUACUAUAGUGAAGGAAGAUACUAGAUGGUGUUAAGUAUGGUGUCAGACACAAGGGUAAGAAACUAUACACAUGUAAUAAUAACUAUCUUAUAAAUCAUUAUCCCCACCAGUACUGUAUGAAUGAAGCUUAAAAAAGUAAGUUUUGGGAGACGCCUGCAGCCUCAGGAACUCCUGCGCUAGGUCGGAUAGCCAGUGGAAGUCCUUGUGGGAGAGCACCAGCCUGACAGACUCCAGGAACACCAAAGGAGACCACCUGGGACCAAAAAAGGACAGGACUAGAACAACUUCAGGAACCCACCAGAUCAUCGUUGGUCUCUUGGCUGAAAGCACAUUUCAGGAGUAUAUCUAAGGUCAUCAAGCUGAUGUGCUCAAAGACUUCUACGCCUGUGUCCCGAGUACCACAAAUUUCCUCCCAUUUACCCUAGCACAGAAGAUCAAGGUCAACAUCAUCAUAACUGGACUGCCUUUACCUGAAGAUGACUUUGGUUUAAGACAGGGGAGACAACAAUGAACAUGUAAGUAACUAAGUCAAGUGCCUUUUCAGCAGGAGGAGGAGUGGACACAUGCACCCAAACUGGUUGGUGAAAAAGAGCAAACUUGGGUGGGGUAGAUAGCAUAAUGCUUAUACAAAGAGACUCUCAUGCCUGAGAUUCUGAAGUCCCAGGUUCAAUCCCCUGUACCUCUAUAAGCCAGAGCUGAGCAGUUUUCUGAUGGAAAGAAAGAAAAAGAGAAAGAAAGGA